CUGAACAGGGAGCAUUAUAAAUACUUGAUGGGAUGCUCUGCUUUGGGCUUCAUGCAGUGGGGUGACUCUCGUAACUGGGAAUGUCCACUGGGAGGACCCUGAAAGCCAUGCCUACAGAGUUGUUACAAGACGCACUGGCUCUUGUGAAGCAUAAGACUACUGUGCCAGGCUGGCUCUACCACGGUCUUCUUCAGGAUCUCAUGUCCCCGCAUCUCAGCAAUCACUAGACGGCUGCAGAGACUGCUAUACGGGCUGAAGCAAAAUGUCUUGACGCUGUCUUGCUGGGCAGUACAGAAGAGCAAUGGAUGGACAGACUUUUUCACCAGAACAGCUGGGUUCAAACCUUGGCUCUACCACAUACACCACCUCUAUGACUUUCGGAUGUAUAAAGUGACGGGACCAGAGACCAGCAAAUGACUCCGAGAACAUGUAAUAUAAAACCAAAACCAAAACCAAAACACAACCAUUUGGGGCCAGACCUGGACUGCUUCUCUUGCCCUAAUGGCUGGAAGGAGGUAUAAACGGCACUCCUCACACGUUCAAGUGAGCUUACCAGCUGAGAUUUGCUAUUUCUGAUCAAAGAGACUGCCAUUUUCCAAUACAGAUUAUGAACGGAGAAAAAUAAGCAAGUGAAGAUCUUUAAAUAAAGGAUUAAGUAAAACCAUAUGGCCAGGUUGAUUUUCAAAUUCCUGCUUAUGAUUCUAACCAAUUUCAUUGCACAUAUUCUCCCAAGAAUUCAAACUUGUAAGGUUAUUUGCUUAACAUAUUUGAAUAUUAAAAUAUUUACAAAAUGGAUUUUUAAAAACUUUAGGUCAGUACAAAAUACAUCCUUUUUUUUUAAUGUUUAUUUAUUAUUGAGAGAGAGAAAGCGUGCGCGCGUGCGUGCUUGGGCGCACGCACAAACAGGGGAGAGGCAGAAAGAGAGGCAGACAGAGGAUCCUAAGCAGGCUCUGUGUUGGGCUGUCAGCAGAGAGCCUGAUGUGGGGCUUCAAGCUCAUGAGCUGGGAGAUCAUGACCCAAGCUGAACUUGGACACUCAACUGACUGAGACACCCAGGAGCCCCAGUACAAAAUACGUCCUUGAGAGACUUUUUUUUUUUAUACUUUUAUCACACUUUUUAGACAAUGAAAAUAUCAUAUA
Molecule: long non-coding RNA, 1140 nt
Organism: Panthera uncia (snow leopard)
Lineage: Eukaryota; Metazoa; Chordata; Mammalia; Carnivora; Felidae
Exons: 3
Source: RefSeq, a predicted model, not a curated record